GGUUUCUCUGUGUAGCCUUGGCUGUCCUGGCACUCACUCCGUAGACCAGGCUGGCCUGGAACUCACAGAGAUCUGCCUGACUCUGCCUCCCAAGUGCUGGGAUUAAAGGCGUGCGCUACCAACGCCC
This 127-nucleotide microRNA precursor is filed under the name Cricetulus griseus (Chinese hamster). RNAcentral describes it as "miRNA (ENSCGRG00001003139.1)". The record is from RNAcentral. Lineage: Eukaryota; Metazoa; Chordata; Mammalia; Rodentia; Cricetidae.